CUAAGGUCUUGCUAUGUUGCCUAGACUGGUUUUGAACUCCUGGGCUGAAGCAAUCCUCCCACUUCGGCCUCUCAAAGUGCUGGGAUAUCAGACAUGAGCCACCUGCCAUGCUUGGCCUAUCUGCCUAGGAAUAGCCAGGCAACCAGCUGCUACUUUGAGCACCCGGCUAAAAUAAGCAGAGACAACUGGAAGGCUUGAUGUGAAAAAGAGCUGUUGAAGUGUACACAAGCAAGCUGACUGCCUUAUGACUAAUACUUGACAGAACCCAGCAAGAGGAUAUGAGAUUGCAGAUGGAUGACCUCAAUCCUGAACAGAAAGGCGUGCAUGAUAAUGGAGAGAAAAAAGCCAAUGGGGAAAAAAAACCCACCACUAUUUUUUUAAUAGCCUAACACACACACAAAAAACUGGUUUUCCUUUUUCUGUAAUGUGUCUGUAGAGCUGGCUAUUCUGAUUAAAGUUGCCCUUGAAAAAGCAAUUAACUUAAGAGUCUUACUGGAAGUUAAAAAUCCCAAGGGGCAGGAAAAAUGAGUGUAUGGGAAGCCCAGUCAACAGGUCAGAAGGUACAGCUGGGAGGUUUUAGCAUUACGUACCGUGUGUUUUUCGUUUAAGGGAGA
RNAcentral lists this long non-coding RNA (614 nucleotides) under Homo sapiens (human). RNAcentral describes it as "non-protein coding lnc-HERC6-2:3". Lineage: Eukaryota; Metazoa; Chordata; Mammalia; Primates; Hominidae. The record is from RNAcentral.